AGAGGUUGAUUCUGGCUCAGGAUGAACGCUGGCGGCGUGCCUAACACAUGCAAGUCGAACGGAGUUAUGCAGAGGAAGUUUUCGGAUGGAAUCGGCGUAACUUAGUGGCGGACGGGUGAGUAACGCGUGGGAAACCUGCCCUGUACCGGGGGAUAACACUUAGAAAUAGGUGCUAAUACCGCAUAAGCGCACAGCUUCACAUGAGGCAGUGUGAAAAACUCCGGUGGUACAGGAUGGUCCCGCGUCUGAUUAGCCAGUUGGCAGGGUAACGGCCUACCAAAGCGACGAUCAGUAGCCGACCUGAGAGGGUGACCGGCCACAUUGGGACUGAGACACGGCCCAAACUCCUACGGGAGGCAGCAGUGGGGAAUAUUGCACAAUGGGGGAAACCCUGAUGCAGCGACGCCGCGUGAGUGAUGAAGUAUUUCGGUAUGUAAAGCUCUAUCAGCAGGGAAGAAAAUGACGGUACCUGACUAAGAAGCACCGGCUAAAUACGUGCCAGCAGCCGCGGUAAUACGUAUGGUGCAAGCGUUAUCCGGAUUUACUGGGUGUAAAGGGAGCGUAGACGGAGAGGCAAGUCUGAUGUGAAAAUCCGGGGCUCAACCCCGGGACUGCAUUGGAAACUGUUUUUCUAGAGUGUCGGAGAGGCAAGUGGAAUUCCUAGUGUAGCGGUGAAACGCGUAGAUAUUAGGAGGAACACCAGUGGCGAAGGCGGCUUGCUGGACGAUGACUGACGUUGAGGCUCGAAAGCGUGGGGAGCAAACAGGAUUAGAUACCCUGGUAGUCCACGCCGUAAACGAU
RNAcentral lists this ribosomal RNA (801 nucleotides) under uncultured bacterium. Its description in RNAcentral is "bacterial SSU rRNA". It matches the Rfam family "Bacterial small subunit ribosomal RNA", at positions 8 to 810 of the family's 1533-position model. The record is from RNAcentral.